Symphalangus syndactylus (siamang) is the source of this 5296-nucleotide long non-coding RNA. RefSeq lists it as uncharacterized. The record is from RefSeq and is a predicted model, not a curated record. Lineage: Eukaryota; Metazoa; Chordata; Mammalia; Primates; Hylobatidae.
GUGAACCCGGGCUGCAGUUCAGACGCGGCCGCACGGCCUCGUCCCUGGGUGCUAUUUACCGCUUUUAAUGACGACAGGGUAAUCACCCUAAUGAAAAACGCCCUCGGGGCUCAGGGCAGCCAGACUGCUAUGAGGAAACCGGGAGGCAUCUCGGAGCCGCCGGUGAGUCACAGUGAGUAUGCAGCGCUGGGCGCGAAGGACUCCCGGGUGCCCUCCCAGCCGCGCGCCACUCCCGCGCCGCCCCUGGAAGGCGGAGAGCGCGAAUGCGUGCUGCAGGGCCGCAGGGUCUAUGCCCCGGGCACCCCGACCCACCCUGGGAAACCCGGGGCACACCAGCCAAGCCUCCUGCAGACCCGACUUCUCCACUGCAACUUUUAAUCAGGCCUGCAAGGGGCUCCAGCACUACCUUCCUCCCUACUCAUGACCUGGGCUCUCCAGGGGCCUGGAUUUUGAAGGGGCCACUCUCUGGUGUGUUCAAGACACCCCUGAAGAUUCUAAGCUCUGCUGGGCUUCACAUUCGCUCUCCUAAGGACCAUUUUUCUGCCAGUGCCUCAGUUUCCCCAACUGCAUACCAGUAGCAUAAGAUUCUCCCCACCACCCUCUGCACCCUGCCCCCGGAUGGCAAGAGUAUUCACUACAGUUUGUUCCUGGCUUUGAAGAUGAAAAAUACAGGAGCUGUUACCACUGGAGUUUAGGUCUGAUUAAUCUGCCCCCUGCUCCCUGCCUUGGAGCCAUGUUGCCCCCUGACACCCCUUCCUUGGACUCCUGCAGGUUCCUUCUUUCUCCUGGAUUUCAUACCUGGAGUUAGCCCCUUUCCUGUUCCUGCCAGUACUCUCGGGUCCUGGAAGAGUAUCUGCCACAUUCAGUCUUCAACAAGUAUUGUUGAGCUCCCCGCCAGAGCCAGGGGCUAAAUGCUGAGGCAGGGCAGUGAAGGUCACAGACCCAAGCCCUUGCCUUCCUGGAGCUCACCUUCUGGUAGAUGCCCAAAUGUCUAAGUGGGAUCCAGUGUAUGUCCAGGGCUUCCUUCUGCCUUCCACCUCUCUCUCCAGGAUUCCUCGUUCAGACAACAAACAAUGGGCAGGCCUAGGCCAGGCACCACAGUCCUGGGUGGACAAUGCUAAUGGGUUCUAGGGGAAAUGAUCACAGCGCCUUACAUGGAACACCCCCCACCCUUCCUCUCCUCUGGACCCUUCUAAUGGCCUCAGCACCUCCUCAAGGUCUUGGUCACACGCCCCCUCUUCUAUAGGGCCUUCCCCUCGCCCUGAACAUCUCUCUCCUCCAAGCCUGCAGUGGCCCUUACCAAUUGGAACUUCCUGCUUGUACCUCCUCUGGACGUGUAUCAUGUCUUAUAUGUGAUAUUUCCACUGAGCCUCAUUCCACACUUCUCAUUAAACUGCCUGCUCCCUGACAGCAGAAUCCAAGUCUCAAGUUUGUUUCCUUCCACCAAGAAUGCACGGAAGUUCUCCAUAGAUGUUGCCAUCAUUGAAAUGAGAGAGCUAAGGCCUAGACCCAGGAACCCCGCACCCAUUGCAAAAUGGAAUUCUGGUGGCCAAGAGGCCCCCCAUCCUGUGCUGUGAGGGUUAUGAGAGUCGGGGGGCACGGGGAUAGAAGUAAAAGGACCAGGUGGGAAGGACAAAGUGGAUUAGACCCCUACUCCAAUCAAUCAUCCUUCAGAAUCACCAACUAGGACACUUGAAUUGGGUCCACAAGUUCUUACUGAGUACUGCCUGGGGCCGGGCACAGUGCUAGGCACUGGGGAGACAAAGAUGAGUGAGAUUCAGUCCCUGCCAUCAGGGAGCUUGGAUACCAACUCUUGUCUUCAGUAACUUUCUGGAUGACCCUAGGCCAAGUAAUUCUGAGCAACCCAAAUAAUUCUCAGCAUCUGAGAGAGAUCACGCCCCUCUUCCUUCGUCUAUGCACUGUGAGCCCUGGCAGGGAAGCCCACGCCAUCAGUCAGAGCUUCCUAGCCAACGUGCAGCCCUCCAGUGGGUUCCAGUUGGGCCAAUAUUGGCCUCAGGGGCCAGAGGCAGCCUUGGUUCUUUACUGCAGUGGCUGUGAAAAGUUUCAUUUUCUAUGAGAACUACAGCAUGACAAGGGUCGGGAAGCCCUGCCUAAGCCAUCUGGUGAAAGAGGAUGCAAAUGCCACCAAGGAGCUCCAAUUCUGGGCCCCAAAGAGUCAUUAACUGCUGUUCCCUGGAUCCCAGAGUUUUGACUGCACAGAACAGCAAAGAAGAAACCAAAAGUCGGGCUCCAUCCAAUUCCUCACCUGGGUGGAUGAGGCCGGCACCUGAUUGUUUUAGGCUGAGGAGGCUCCUGAGGCUGAGAGCUGAUAAGAGACAUUGAUCUAGGGUUUGCAACUCUCUCUGGUUUCCUGAAGCUGUUUCUCACAGGGCAGGGAGAAGAGGAGUCUGCCAGCCUUUGGACUCAGCAUCUGUCUCAUGGGCAAAGCCUUUAUCCAGCAAGAAGCCAGCUGUGUGACAAGCAAUGGAGCCACAAUGGGGACAAAGGAUGGAGUUAAGAGCAUUCAUUUUAAAGUCACACCAGACAAAUUCAACUGUCAGACCAGCCAGGUAGCCUCCAGUAAGCUACUUGGACUCUUAAGACAUGAAAGGGCAGCCCUAAAGCCUUCCUCUCACAGGAUUGUUGUAAAGAAAAUUAUGGCCUGAAACGGUGGCUCAUCCCUAUAAUCCCAGCACUUUGGGAAGCUGAGGCAGGAGUAUCACUUGAGGCGAGGAGUUGGAGACCAGCCUGGGCAAGACUGAUAUCAAGACCCCAUCUCUACUAAAAAAAAAACAAGUUUUUAAUUAGUUGGACAUAGUGACGCCCACCUGUAGUCCAGGCUACUCAGGAGGCUAAGGCAGGAGGAUUGCUUGAGCCAAGGAGAUUAAGGCUGUAGUGAGCCAUGAUCAUGCCAUUGCACUCCAGCCUGGACAACAGAACAAGCCACUAUUUAAAAAAGAAAGAGAGAGAGAGAGAGAGAAGAAAGAAAGAACGAAGGAAGGAAGGAAGGAAGGAAGGAAGGAAGGAAGGAAGGAAGGAAGGAGAAAGAAAGAAAGAAAGAAAAAGGAAGGAAGGAAAGAAGGAAGGGAGAAAGAAAAAGAAAGAAAGAAGAAGGAAGGAAGGGAGAAAGAAAGAAGGAAGGAAGGAAGAGAGAAAGAAAGGAAGAGAGAAAGAAAGAAAGAAAAGGAAGGAAGGAAGGGAGAAAGAAAGAAAAGAAAGGAAGGAAGGGAGAAAGAAAGAAGGAAGGAAGGAAGGCAGGCAGGCAGGAAGGAAGGAAGGGAGAGAGAAGAAAGAAAGAAAGAAAGGGAGGGAGAAAGAAAGAAAGGGAGAAAAAGAAGAAAGAAAACAAGAAAGAAAGAGAGAAAGAAAGAAAGAGAAAGAAGGGAGGGAGGGAGAAAGAAAGAAAUAAAGAAAGGAAGGAAGGGAGGGAGGGAGAAAGAAAGAAAACAAGAAAGAGAGAGAGAGAAAGAAAGAAAAAGAAAGAAAGAAGAAAGAAAAGAAAGAGAAAGAAAGAAAGAAAGAAAGAAAGAAAGAAAGAAAGAAAGAAAGAAAGAAAGAAAGAAAGAAAAAACGAAAACUGAAGAAAACGAAAUGUGUCCACAAGGCCUGGCCAAGGCAGGCAUCAGAUAUCAGUCGCCCCAUCUUCCAUGGCUACAGCCCGGAAGCUCCUGCAGCUCCUGCAGCUCCCGGGACUGGGCUCAGCUCCGACUCCACCAGGAGCACCAGCUUCAAGGUCUUCAUGAACCAUGUGGGAAUCUGUGGGGCUGCCAACAGCAUUCUCUUCAUAAAACUUCUAGGCAAAACCCGCCUAGCCCCUGAGCUGGCUGUCAUUAUCCAAGAAAUGACAAUGACCUCUAGAACGCCAGGCAGGACUGGCCAGGAGGAUUCCACUGUGACUUGUCCAUCACCUAUGAAGCCCUGUGGCACACCCCAAAAUGGAAAGCAACUGAGGACCCUCAAGAGAACUGCCAUUCAGGAGCAGUCCCACCAGGGUGGGUUCUGUACACAGGUGCUUGGUGUGAUUGGAAGAACCCAGACACUCUCUGCACACAAAGUCUCCCACUCCUUGACUCUGAUAUGCCACAACCAGAUGUCAUCUCACCAGCAUUCAUGAGCACCUACCACUUUCCAGGCACCAUGCUGAGUAUUGGGCUUGAUUCUUCUGGGUUAUAUAUUACCACCCCUAAGCGUUUUCUUUUAAAAUGCAAACACCCUCUGAGAAGGGCAAUGCAUUAAUUAGAUUGCUCCCACCGCAGAUUGAAUUAAUUCAGGGUAUGGGGAGUUCUUUAUUGUAAGAUAUCAGAGAAGGACUAGAUAUCUUUAGCAAACAGGGCAGCUAAAGUUCAGAGGGCAGAGGUGACUAUAGAACAAAGGACGAAGACAGCUGUAACUUUGCAUUUUUCUACAGUGGAUUUCAGGGGCCACAUCUCCUCCCUCCUUUGUCCUUAAGACAAACACACCCAUGCCCAUGACAAGCAGCAGCAGUCCCCAUAAGUGCAGCUGAUGAGUGGGACUCCAUAGGAGAGAACAGCCAGGGGAUGGCAGCCCUGGCUCUGCUGCAGAGGAGCCGGCCUGCCUUUCACCAUCUCCAGAUGAGGACGCCUGAACCAGUGCCUACUCGCUCCCCAGCAAGUUCAGGGCUUAGAGUUCAGGUAAUUAGGCCCUUGGCAAUCUCACCUGAGCCCGCCAAUAAAACAGACAAACACCUUCAGCUCCUGUUCAGGAGGGAGAGAGGAAACCAGGAGGGAGGAAGGGAAGGAGGAAAACUUUUUUCUAUUCUAAGGCUUGGCAACCCCAAGGGAGAAUUCAUUUACAAAGCAGCCACUCCAACACCCCACUCCUGUUCCACACCCAGGGUUGUCCCCUCCUGCCACAGAACCCUGGACUCCAUCUGCCACCAUCAUCGAGGGUGACAGGGGACAUCUGUGCGGACUGCAACCUGAACAGGCACUGGGCACUGAGGGCCUAACCUUGUAGGGCAGGCGUUCGCCAGCAUGGUUCCUUCCAGCAGAGGAAAGAAGGCUCCCUCCCACUCCAGGAGCCACAUCACCCCCAAAAAAUGUCUGAAAGGCUGCUCCAGAGUGUUAGAGAGCAACUGAGUGACUUCUUUGAACCCUGCCUUGUGUCACCACCAGCUGUUGAGGGCUCAGCUCAGUUCGUGUCUGGGCUCCUUCAGACCGGGGACCAUUCCUUAACCAUCCCUAGAUUGGGACAGUGCCCAGGAGAUACUAGGCACACAGAUAGGAAUUUCCUUUCCCCCUAAAUAAUCAACAUUAUUAAUACUUCUUGCAUAUGA